GCUCCAAUAGCGUAUAUUAAAGUUGUUGCAGUUAAAAAGCUCGUAGUUGGAUGUUGGGUAUUAGUUACGUUCGGUAUUCUUAGAGUACUGUCGUGCUGACCUUUUUCUCGAGGCCUAUAAGUGCACUUAACCGUGUGUUUAUAGUGUUCGGGACUUUACCGUGAGAAAAUUAGAGUGUUCAUAGCAGGCUAGUGCUUGAA
This 200-nucleotide ribosomal RNA is filed under the name uncultured eukaryote. RNAcentral's name for it is "partial 18S ribosomal RNA". It matches the Rfam family "Eukaryotic small subunit ribosomal RNA", at positions 588 to 799 of the family's 1831-position model. The record is from RNAcentral.